Molecule: ribosomal RNA, 253 nt
Filed under: uncultured bacterium
Lineage: Bacteria
Description: partial 16S ribosomal RNA
Rfam family: Bacterial small subunit ribosomal RNA
Source: RNAcentral
UACAGAGGGUGCGAGCGUUGUCCGGAAUCACUGGGCGUAAAGGGCGCGUAGGUGGUGACCUAAGCGUGCGGUGAAAGCCCGAGGCUCAACCUCGGGUCGGCCGUGCGAACUGGGUCACUGGAGCAGAAUAGAGGCAGGUGGAAUUCCGGGUGUAGCGGUGGAAUGCGUAGAGAUCCGGAAGAACACCGGUGGCGAAGGCGGCCUGCUGGGUUCUGGCUGACACUGAGGGACGAAAGCUAGGGGAGCGAAUGGG